This 842-nucleotide ribosomal RNA is filed under the name bacterium enrichment culture clone P30C1F. Its description in RNAcentral is "bacterial SSU rRNA". It matches the Rfam family "Bacterial small subunit ribosomal RNA", at positions 510 to 1356 of the family's 1533-position model. The record is from RNAcentral.
AGCAGCCGCGGUAAUACGUAGGGUGCGAGCGUUAAUCGGAAUUACUGGGCGUAAAGCGUGCGCAGGCGGUUGUGUAAGACAGGUGUGAAAUCCCCGGGCUUAACCUGGGAACUGCGCUUGUGACUGCACGGCUAGAGUACGGUAGAGGGGGGUGGAAUUCCACGUGUAGCAGUGAAAUGCGUAGAGAUGUGGAGGAACACCGAUGGCGAAGGCAGCCCCCUGGGCCUGUACUGACGCUCAUGCACGAAAGCGUGGGGAGCAAACAGGAUUAGAUACCCUGGUAGUCCACGCCGUAAACGAUGAUCACUCGUUGUUGGCAAUACACCGUCAGCGACUGAACGAAAGCAUUAAGUGAUCCACCUGGGAAGUACGAUCGCAAGGUUGAAACUCAAAGGAAUUGACGGGGGCCCGCACAAGCGGAGGAGCAUGUGGUUUAAUUCGAUGAUACGCGAGGAACCUUACCUGGGCUUAAAUGCAGAACGACCUCCACCGAAAGGUGGAUUUCCUUCGGGACGGUCUGCAAGGUGCUGCAUGGUUGUCGUCAGCUCGUGCCGUGAGGUGUCGGGUUAAGUCCCAUAACGAGCGCAACCCCUAUUCUUAGUUGCCAUCAGGUUAAGCUGGGGACUCUAAGGAAACUGCCUACGCAAGUAGUGAGGAAGGUGGGGAUGACGUCAAAUCAGCACGGCCCUUAUGUCCAGGGCUACACACGUGCUACAAUGGCCGGUACAGAGGGUCGCUACAUGGUGACAUGAUGCUAAUCUCGAAAGCCGGUCUCAGUUCGGAUCGAAGUCUGCAACUCGACUUCGUGAAGCUGGANUCGCUAGUAAUCGCAUAUCAGCAAU